CUGCGGAGCUCAGCCCUGAGAGAGAGACACCCAGCCGGACACACAGCCGAGAUAAAGCUUCAGCUCUCCUGAGAGAGAGACACCCAGCCGGGAAAGCUCACGAUCCACCUUCACACCAGUCCAUGACCUUCAUCUCUGAGGAAGAAAGCGUGUUCUCUGCUGGACGUAGUGCCGGAAUAUCGGGCAGAACUGUCCCUCAAAAAGGAGACCUGCACCUUUUACUCUACCUUCUUACUACCAGGUCGUCUACAGAAUGGACUUUAAGAAGAACAAACCGGACAUCAGGCAUUAUUGUCAGCCUCUGAGGCAACAGCAAACGAUGAAGGAAGAAGAAGAAGAGCAAGACGUAGGAAAGGACACCACACAGCUGGUAGGUCAUAGAGACUCCACUUAUUGACCUGUUAGUGAGAAACUGUUGAGU
Long non-coding RNA from Pygocentrus nattereri (red-bellied piranha), 421 nucleotides. NCBI's taxonomy places the organism in Eukaryota, Metazoa, Chordata, Actinopteri, Characiformes, Serrasalmidae. The record is from Ensembl.